CACUCAGGCCAUAGAUUAAUCACAGAGGCAUGGGAACGUACACAUCUGGGUGUGUGAACAUAGGCACAUUUGCAAGUGUUUAGGGAAGUCACAUCUGUACACCAUCAGGAGUCAGUGCCUCACUUUGAAACCACUUCAGAAAUCCAUGAGUCUCUCUCACAAGGGUGGAGGACAAGCUGGGACCCCAGGGAAUGUGAUAUGGAAAGCUGACCAGAACUGCACAGAGACACCAAACAAACACACCCUGCAAAGCUGUGCCGGCCACGCUCACUCUGCAGUCACCUGAGUGCCACAGGAGGAUGAAGGAGAACCAUCUCUGGGGAAUCAAAUCACAAAUUCAUUCCACCACCCAGUACAACAGGUUCCAGCACCACAGCUAUGAAGCAAGAGGGAUAGCUGUGGUUUUAAAGCAGAUAUGAAAAGCAGAUUUUGUAACAUUAAUGCUUAGGUAACUAUGCAUGCUUCAGAGUGACAACAUGAAUGUCAAUCAAAA
Molecule: long non-coding RNA, 493 nt
Filed under: Junco hyemalis (dark-eyed junco)
Lineage: Eukaryota; Metazoa; Chordata; Aves; Passeriformes; Passerellidae
Description: lncRNA (ENSJHYG00000014051.1)
Source: RNAcentral